Molecule: long non-coding RNA, 227 nt
Filed under: Phoenix dactylifera (date palm)
Lineage: Eukaryota; Viridiplantae; Streptophyta; Magnoliopsida; Arecales; Arecaceae
Description: long non-coding RNA (PDAC_LNC011413)
Source: RNAcentral
GGGUUUUUGAGGGGGUGCGUGUGCAUAAUGAGGUUGCGGAGGUGGAGGAGUUGGGUUAUAUACUUGUUGAGGUUGGUCAUUCCUCCACCUGAAAUUUGGAUGGUUCUUCCAUCCAGGGUUGUAAGUACCCGAAAAAGGAUUAUUAAAAGAUUUUUGAUAUGUAUUCAUAACAUUGGCCUGAUCGUGCAAGACUUCCUUGAAUGCGGAUAUUGUGGGGCAAUCAGUGG